This 490-nucleotide ribosomal RNA is filed under the name uncultured bacterium. Its description in RNAcentral is "partial 16S ribosomal RNA". It matches the Rfam family "Bacterial small subunit ribosomal RNA", at positions 30 to 507 of the family's 1533-position model. The record is from RNAcentral.
AUUGAACGCUGGCGGCAGGCCUAACACAUGCAAGUCGAACGGUAACAGGAAGCAGCUUGCUGCUUCGCUGACGAGUGGCGGACGGGUGAGUAAUGUCUGGGAAGCUGCCUGAUGGAGGGGGAUAACUACUGGAAACGGUAGCUAAUACCGCAUAAUGUCGCAAGACCAAAGAGGGGGACCUUCGGGCCUCUUGCCAUCGGAUGUGCCCAGAUGGGAUUAGCUUGUUGGUGGGGUAACGGCUCACCAAGGCGACGAUCCCUAACUGGUCUGAGAGGAUGACCAGCCACACUGGAACUGAGACACGGUCCAGACUCCUACGGGAGGCAGCAGUGGGGAAUAUUGCACAAUGGGCGCAAGCCUGAUGCAGCCAUGCCGCGUGUAUGAAGAAGGCCUUCGGGUUGUAAAGUACUUUCAGCGGGGAGGAAGGGAGUAAAGUUAAUACCUUUGCUCAUUGACGUUACCCGCAGAAGAAGCACCGGCUAACUCCGUG